Molecule: ribosomal RNA, 270 nt
Filed under: uncultured bacterium
Lineage: Bacteria
Description: partial 16S ribosomal RNA
Rfam family: Bacterial small subunit ribosomal RNA
Source: RNAcentral
CCGGCGACCGGCGCACGGGUGAGUAACACGUAUGCGACCUGCCCCCCGCAGGGGGAUAACCGGGAGAAAUCCCGACUAAUACCGCGUAACGCCGCGGACCUGCAUGGGUCUGCGGCCAAAGGAAGCGAUUCCGGCGGGGGAUGAGCAUGCGGCGCAUUAGCUAGUCGGCGGGGUAACGGCCCACCGAGGCGACGAUGCGUAGGGGUUCUGAGAGGAAGGUCCCCCACACUGGUACUGAGACACGGACCAGACUCCUACGGAAGGCAGCAG